This 1596-nucleotide long non-coding RNA is filed under the name Mytilus galloprovincialis (Mediterranean mussel). Lineage: Eukaryota; Metazoa; Mollusca; Bivalvia; Mytilida; Mytilidae. The record is from RNAcentral.
AAAUAAACAAAAUUAAAUCCUCCACAAAUAUUUCUGUUUUUACAGUAUAUAUUUGAUCAUGCUUGUACUAUUUUUACAUAUUUACAUAACUUUUUACCAAACAAAAAUAAUUUAAAAAUGAUCUGUUCUUAAAUGUACUAAAGCAAAAAAAAUGAUUCUAUGCUUACAUGGAUUACUUUUAGCGGGUUAUUUUCACGAUUUUCAUUGAAUAAGAUAUACGAAAUAUUUAGGCGGUUAUUAUUUUAGCGGAUUCAAAAGUUUUAUCAAUACCUCUGCAUGUACACUUUUAAUUUGGAGGAAUUUAGAUUGGCGAUUUUGUUCUAUCCUCGAAAAAUAAGCAAAAAUUUAAACCCCACAAAAAUAACCCACUUUACGAUAUCUGUUUGAAGACUCAAGUUUAAAUUGAUAUGUCUUUCCUAAGUCUAUUUUGCAGUAUGAUGCUUAUUGUUUUAUAUUCUUAUGAUCUGUUAUAACCUACCUCUUUUAAACAUAAACAAUGAAAAUAAAUAAUAAAACUUAUAAAAACCUAUGAUGUAAGACAUACUUGAUGUCUCUUUCAUGAUGUUGGAAGAACAAUGGAAAAAGAUAUAUGGCAAAGAAGUGAUCAACUAUACAUUUGUAAUAAAAAAAAAUUAGUCUCUUUGUUUGCAAUGAUUUCACAUUUGUUGAUAUGCACACACUAAAAAAAUGGUCAAAUUCCAUUAAACUACAGUUUUAAGUUCUGAUAAUCAGACUUAUAUUUUUGGAUGACUAUUUUCUUUUUCUUUGAAUGAAAGCUUAGAGAUAGCACAAGAGCUUUCUUUAAAUAGGAGUUUUGCCUGUAAAUAUUUUCAGAAUCUGCCAAUAUAUUGGUUUCUAUUUGAUAAACUAGUUUGCUUCAAAGCAAUCUUUUGAGACAUCACUAACUAUUAAAACAGUUUGAUUCCAGUUUUCAGAUCAAGAUUUAAAGCCCGCUGAUAAAUCCAUUCAGGGUUUUUUUUUUCAAAUAUGAAGUUCUUUAAUAGCCUUUCUGCUUAGUACUUAUAUGUUGUUUACAGAAGAGAUGCACUUAAUAAAAUGAGUACCUCCACUUAUCUAUUUAUGUAUCAUGUGACAUUGAUAUUUUAUGUACUUAAUGUACUUUAAAACAAUCUGAAACUAUAUUUAUGUGCAACUCGAUUAAUUUAUGUAAGGAAAUUUUAUUCCUUUCAUGUAUGUGAAGAGAUAAUUUGAUAUAGAUACUCAGGUUUGAUGCUUGAUAUUACCAGUAAAUUGUCAUGAAAAUUUAUACCUGUAUCAUGAAUAGUAAUGAUUAUUUGUAUAAUGUAAUAAGAAUAGUGGUACAUGUAAUGGCACAUGUAUUACUGAUAAAGGUUUAAGAUUUUGAUGCUUCAUGAAUUCUAUGCAGGUCCAUAAAGGUGUAAUACACUAAAUUUGUCUAUGUAAGUUGUUGGCAUCAUAGUGUUGGGAGUUAAUUGUGAAAAUUGUUGAAUGGGAUAUGUAGAUUUUAUUAUUAUUUUCAAAUAAUGAUGAUAUGUACUGAUAAAAUAUUAAUAUUUUGUUAAAUAUUUUGUUACAUGAUAUAUUUUAUAAAUAAAUAAAAUGUCUUGCUUAAAA